RNAcentral lists this ribosomal RNA (464 nucleotides) under Neisseria elongata. RNAcentral's name for it is "bacterial SSU rRNA". It matches the Rfam family "Bacterial small subunit ribosomal RNA", at positions 50 to 504 of the family's 1533-position model. The record is from RNAcentral. Lineage: Bacteria; Pseudomonadati; Pseudomonadota; Betaproteobacteria; Neisseriales; Neisseriaceae.
UUAACAUGCAAGUCGGACGGCAGCGGGGUAGUGCUUGCACUACUGCCGGCGAGUGGCGAACGGGUGAGUAAUAUAUUGGAACGUACCGAGUAAUGGGGGAUAACCAAUCGAAAGAUUGGCUAAUACCGCAUACGCUCUGAGGAGGAAAGCAGGGGACCUUCGGGCCUUGCGUUAUUCGAGCGGCCAAUAUCUGAUUAGCUAGUUGGUGGGGUAAAGGCCUACCAAGGCGACGAUCAGCAGCGGGUCUGAGAGGAUGAUCCGCCACACUGGGACUGAGACACGGCCCAGACUCCUACGGGAGGCAGCAGUGGGGAAUUUUGGACAAUGGGCGCAAGCCUGAUCCAGCCAUGCCGCGUGUCUGAAGAAGGCCUUCGGGUUGUAAAGGACUUUUGUUAGGGAAGAAAAAGGAGCGGUUAAUACCCGUUUCUGCUGACGGUACCUAAAGAAUAAGCACGGCUAACUAC